This 182-nucleotide ribosomal RNA is filed under the name Citrobacter amalonaticus. RNAcentral's name for it is "partial 16S ribosomal RNA". It matches the Rfam family "Bacterial small subunit ribosomal RNA", at positions 1 to 176 of the family's 1533-position model. The record is from RNAcentral. Lineage: Bacteria; Pseudomonadati; Pseudomonadota; Gammaproteobacteria; Enterobacterales; Enterobacteriaceae. RNAcentral also lists the same sequence under 1 other name.
AAAUUGAAGAGUUUGAUCAUGGCUCAGAUUGAACGCUGGCGGCAGGCCUAACACAUGCAAGUCGAACGGUAACAGGAAGCAGCUUGCUGCUUCGCUGACGAGUGGCGGACGGGUGAGUAAUGUCUGGGAAACUGCCCGAUGGAGGGGGAUAACUACUGGAAACGGUAGCUAAUACCGCAUAA